UAGGGAAUAUUGGACAAUGGGGGCAACCCUGAUCCAGCCAUGCCGCGUGAGUGAAGAAGGCCCUCGGGUUGUCAAGCUCUUUUGUCCGGAAAGAAAAGCAUUCGGUGAAUACCCGGAUGUUCUGACGGUACCGGAAGAAUAAGCACCGGCUAACUUCGUGCCAGCAGCCGCGGUAAUACGAAGGGUGCAAGCGUUACUCGGAAUUACUGGGCGUAAAGCGUGCGUAGGUGGUUGUUUAAGUCUGAUGUGAAAGCCCUGGGCUCAACCUGGGAAUGGCAGUGGNAACUGGGCAGCGAGAUUGCGGUAGAGCGUAGUGGAAUUCCCGGUCUAUCAGUGAAAUGCGUAGAGAUCGGGAGGAACAUCUGUGGCGAAGGCGACUGCCUGGACCAGCACUGACACUG
This 401-nucleotide ribosomal RNA is filed under the name uncultured bacterium. RNAcentral's name for it is "bacterial SSU rRNA". It matches the Rfam family "Bacterial small subunit ribosomal RNA", at positions 355 to 748 of the family's 1533-position model. The record is from RNAcentral.